RNAcentral lists this transfer RNA (77 nucleotides) under Elusimicrobiota bacterium. RNAcentral describes it as "Elusimicrobia bacterium tRNA-Cys". It matches the Rfam family "tRNA". From Rfam's summary of the family: Transfer RNA (tRNA) molecules are approximately 80 nucleotides in length. Their secondary structure includes four short double-helical elements and three loops (D, anti-codon, and T loops). Further hydrogen bonds mediate the characteristic L-shaped molecular structure. tRNAs have two regions of fundamental functional importance: the anti-codon, which is responsible for specific mRNA codon recognition, and the 3' end, to which the tRNAs corresponding amino acid is attached (by aminoacyl-tRNA synthetases). tRNAs cope with the degeneracy of the genetic code in two manners: having more than one tRNA (with a specific anti-codon) for a particular amino acid; and 'wobble' base-pairing, i.e. permitting non-standard base-pairing at the 3rd anti-codon position. The record is from RNAcentral. Lineage: Bacteria; Pseudomonadati; Elusimicrobiota.
GGUGCGGUACCCAAGUGGUUUAAGGGGCGAGUCUGCAAAACUCGUAUUCAUGGGUUCGAAUCCCAUCCGCACCUCCA